AUACGUAGGUGACAAGCGUUAUCCGGAUUUACUGGGCGUAAAGGGCGUGUAGGCGGUCUUGCAAGUCAGAAGUGAAAUUCCUGAGCUCAACUCGGGCGCUGCUUCUGAAACUGCAGGACUUGAGUGCUGGAGGGGAUAGCGGAAUUCCUAGUGGAGCGGUAAAAUGCGCAGAUAUUAGGAAGAACACCGGUGGCGAAGGCGGCAAGCUGGACAGUAACGGACGCUGAGGCGCGAAAGCGUGGGGAGCAAACAGGAUUAGAUACCCUGGUAGCCCACGCCGUAAACGAUGAAUACUAGGUGUAGGGGGUAUCGACCCCUUCUGUGCCGCAGUCAACACAAUAAGCAUUCCGCCUGGGGAGUACGGCCGCAAGGUUGAAACUCAAAUGAAUUGACGGGG
RNAcentral lists this ribosomal RNA (397 nucleotides) under uncultured bacterium. RNAcentral's name for it is "partial 16S ribosomal RNA". It matches the Rfam family "Bacterial small subunit ribosomal RNA", at positions 523 to 918 of the family's 1533-position model. The record is from RNAcentral.